This 840-nucleotide ribosomal RNA is filed under the name Ascochyta medicaginicola. RNAcentral's name for it is "partial large subunit ribosomal RNA". It matches the Rfam family "Eukaryotic large subunit ribosomal RNA", at positions 78 to 936 of the family's 3401-position model. The record is from RNAcentral. Lineage: Eukaryota; Fungi; Ascomycota; Dothideomycetes; Pleosporales; Didymellaceae.
CCCUAGUAACGGCGAGUGAAGCGGCAACAGCUCAAAUUUGAAAUCUGGCGUCUUUGGCGUCCGAGUUGUAAUUUGCAGAGGGCGCUUUGGCAUUGGCAGCGGUCCAAGUUCCUUGGAACAGGACGUCACAGAGGGUGAGAAUCCCGUACGUGGUCGCUAGCCUUUACCGUGUAAAGCCCCUUCGACGAGUCGAGUUGUUUGGGAAUGCAGCUCUAAAUGGGAGGUAAAUUUCUUCUAAAGCUAAAUACUGGCCAGAGACCGAUAGCGCACAAGUAGAGUGAUCGAAAGAUGAAAAGCACUUUGGAAAGAGAGUUAAAAAGCACGUGAAAUUGUUGAAAGGGAAGCGCUUGCAGCCAGACUUGCCUGUAGUUGCUCAUCUGGGUUUUUACCCAGUGCACUCUUCUAUAGGCAGGCCAGCAUCAGUUUGGGCGGUUGGAUAAAGGUCUCUGUCAUGUACCUCUCUUCGGGGAGAACUUAUAGGGGAGACGACAUGCAACCAGCCUGGACUGAGGUCCGCGCAUCUGCUAGGAUGCUGGCGUAAUGGCUGUAAGCGGCCCGUCUUGAAACACGGACCAAGGAGUCUAACAUCUAUGCGAGUGUUUGGGUGUCAAGCCCGAGCGCGUAAUGAAAGUGAACGGAGGUGGGAACCUUUCGGGGUGCACCAUCGACCGAUCCUGAUGUCUUCGGAUGGAUUUGAGUAAGAGCAUAGCUGUUGGGACCCGAAAGAUGGUGAACUAUGCUUGAAUAGGGUGAAGCCAGAGGAAACUCUGGUGGAGGCUCGCAGCGGUUCUGACGUGCAAAUCGAUCGUCAAAUUUGGGCAUAGGGGCGAAAGACUAAUC